ACAUAUGAACAAUGGGGUUAGGC
This 23-nucleotide non-coding RNA is filed under the name Cricetulus griseus (Chinese hamster). The record is from RNAcentral. Lineage: Eukaryota; Metazoa; Chordata; Mammalia; Rodentia; Cricetidae.